GAUGAACGCUGGCGGCGUGCCUAACACAUGCAAGUCGAGCGAUUCUCUUCGGAGAAGAGCGGCGGACGGGUGAGUAACGCGUGGGUAACCUGCCUCAUACACAUGGAUAACAUACCGAAAGGUAUGCUAAUACAGGAUAAYAUAAGAGAUUCGCAUGRAUUUCUUAUCAAAGCUCCGGCGGUAUGAGAUGGACCCGCGUCUGAUUAGCUAGUUGGUAAGGUAAUGGCUUACCAAGGCGACGAUCAGUAGCCGACCUGAGAGGGUGAUCGGCCACAUUGGAACUGAGACACGGUCCAAACUCCUACGGGAGGCAGCAGUGGGGAAUAUUGCACAAUGGGCGAAAGCCUGAUGCAGCAACGCCGCGUGAGUGAUGAAGGCCUUCGGGUCGUAAAACUCUGUCCUCAAGGAAGAUAAUGACGGUACUUGAGGAGGAAGCCCCGGCUAACUACGUGCCAGCAGCCGCGGUAAUACGUAGGGGGCUAGCGUUAUCCGGAUUUACUGGGCGUAAAGGGUGCGUAGGUGGUUUCUUAAGUCAGGAGUGAAAGGCUACGGCUCAACCGUAGUAAGCUCUUGAAACUGGGAAACUUGAGUGCAGGAGAGGAAAGUGGAAUUCCUAGUGUAGCGGUGAAAUGCGUAGAUAUUAGGAGGAACACCAGUAGCGAAGGCGGCUUUCUGGACUGUAACUGACACUGAGGCACGAAAGCGUGGGGAGCAAACAGGAUUAGAUACCCUGGUAGUCCACGCCGUAAACGAUGAGUACUAGGUGUCGGGGGUUACCCCCCUCGGUGCCGCAGCUAACGCAUUAAGUACUCCGCCUGGGGAGUACGCUCGCAAGAGUG
RNAcentral lists this ribosomal RNA (839 nucleotides) under uncultured bacterium. RNAcentral describes it as "bacterial SSU rRNA". It matches the Rfam family "Bacterial small subunit ribosomal RNA", at positions 28 to 896 of the family's 1533-position model. The record is from RNAcentral.